Long non-coding RNA from Cucumis melo (muskmelon), 1257 nucleotides. RefSeq lists it as uncharacterized. Lineage: Eukaryota; Viridiplantae; Streptophyta; Magnoliopsida; Cucurbitales; Cucurbitaceae. The transcript is spliced from 2 exons. The record is from RefSeq and is a predicted model, not a curated record.
ACCUAUCUGUGUGAAUAAGCUUUUCCCCACAUGUAGAAUCCUCCAUUGGCGAGUCAUAAAACGAGCUGGAUGAAAUCGAAUGUCCUCGUUUUCUAUAGGCAGCUACAAUGACCCUAGCCACAUCCUUAAGCAUGCUUCCUCUGGGCUUAACGAUGAUGUAAGUAUGCCGACCCAGCAAGAAAAUCGAGAUGGAGAUGAAGAAACAAAUGGUGGGAAUGGCAAAUCCGAGGGUCCAGCUUACAUUAGUUUGAACAUAAACAACACCAGUGAGAGCUAUAAGUAGUGCGACGGUGAAAGAAAGGGACGAAUACCACCAGCGCCAAUCGACAACAGACCGAGACCGGUGAAUAGAACUAGGAGCUGCCAAAGAUGUGGCUGUGGGCAAUGGCCUGAAUCUUCAACAUUGCAAUGAGGAGGUCUGAGCUGGUGGAGAGCUGCGGUGAGAGCAACAGUCCCCAUCCCCUUUUCAAAGACAAAGAAGAUUAAUUGUGAGAUAAAUGUUGAUGACUUAAACAAGGGAAAAGUAAAAGCAAUACCAAGAAUGAUGCAAUGGAGCCAUAUAGGAGGGUGCGGUAGCGGCCAAGACGAGUAUCUGCAAUGAAAGCACCGGCUAAAGUGGCAACAUUUGAGGUUCCAAUCCAAAUGUUAACCACAUUAACCACAAAAAUUCCAUUGACAUUAUAUUUGGUGCUGAGAUACACUGUGAUAUUAGAUAUCAAACUCAUGGAUGACAGCUUCUCAAAAGACUCGUUCCCUUCAAAAGAACAGAUAUUCAAAACUAAGGGAAAAGACACAGAUCAGUUUGUAAUGUAUGAUGUUUAAGUAAUGAAUGUUACCGACCGAUAAUGUAUUUGACGGCACGCCAUCCUCCGAGUUUCUGGCAAGGGGGCGGAGGAGGGUGGGAGGAGGGAAGUGGAGUUACCAAAUCCAUGGUGGCCGUGUAAAGACUGUAGGAGGGUGUGGAAGGAGGGAAAUAUCGAAAGAGUGGAGGAAAUUAGGAAUGGUGGAAAAGCUCCAAAAUAGAAGGUAGUUGUUGAGGAUUAUUGUUUUAUGAGUAUAUGCUGUUGUUUUGCAUUGAUCCUAUUUUCCCGUUUUCCACUUCCCCAUCCCCAUUUAUCACUCUUCUUCUCCCACACCAAUUCCAUGGUAUAUAUAUUAGUUAGCAUUUUUUUUUUCUUUUUUGCAAAAUUUGAAGUCUGUGAGUUUCUGAUUAUAUAGAAAAUUAAGAUGGUUUUGCACGGACAUAAUCAAAUUUAA